RNAcentral lists this long non-coding RNA (5496 nucleotides) under Brassica napus (rape). RNAcentral's name for it is "long non-coding RNA (BNAP_LNC017478)". Lineage: Eukaryota; Viridiplantae; Streptophyta; Magnoliopsida; Brassicales; Brassicaceae. The record is from RNAcentral.
CUUGGCUUUGCUAAAUCGACAAUUUGCCAAAACCUCGUCUCCAUGGAUCCUAAAAACAGAGAUUUCCUAAACCACCUCGAAACAUACCUCGCCAAAAGAGACGGCGUAGACAAGCUCCUGAAGAUCUCUCGUUACACAACCAAGAUCAUCCUCGCAUCAUCCCUUCUCCCAGAAUCGGGAUCCCUAACUCACCGCCUCAAGAGCUUUGAAUCAAGCGUCGGAGUCAGCCGCAAAGCCUUCCGUCUCGGAAAAUUCGUACAAGACAUCAACGCCCUCAGAGCCUCGCCACGUGACUCGAGCCGCGACCUCCUCCUUCUGGUAAUCGCGUACGGGGGCGAAGGGUUGUACUACUUCGUCGAGCAGUUCAUCUGGUUAGCGAAAUCGGGAUUGAUCGAUGCGAAAUGGUUGCAGAAGAUCAGCGCAUGGGCAGAGCUCGUGGGGUAUGUUGGGAGCGUUUCGUUGAAGAUUAGGGAUUUGAGGAAGAUCAAGGACGAGAUUGAGAUGUCUAAUGGAGGAGAAGAGGAGAAGAUGAAGAAGCUUAAGGAGAAGAAGACAUUGAAAGUGUUGUCCAUCUUGCAAGAUCUUGCUGAUGGGUUGAUGACGAUCGCAGAUCUUAGGGAUGGUAAGGGAGUGUUAUCAGCUCCGAGUGUGAUUUCUUCAGCAGGUUUGUUCUCAGCCAUUAUCAGUACUCACAAGAACUGGGUUUCUUGUUGAUCAUUCGUUUCCGUAAUCCAUAUACUCAAUAAAUAGUUUCAUUUUUUGGUUCUUGUCUGCUUUAUUACAUCACUGAUGUUUUGUUUCAGUGUUCCUCUCAAAUUCAAUGUUUUAUCAGAUAUAUAAACAGAGUUGAAGAAAUACAUGAUUUAAAUCAGUAAAGAUGAAAUAAUUCCAAUCUUUGGAAGCAAUAAAAACAAGCUUUUAACUCUUGUUCUUGAAUAAAUGUUUCAUUUUUUUUUCUUGUCUCCUGCUUAUUACAACACUGAUGUUUUGAUACAAAGUUUAGAUAUAUAAACAGAGUUGAGGCAACUAAUACAUGGAAAGAUGAAAUGGUUCCCAGCUUUGGAAGCGAUACAAACAGAUUGAAGAAUUGUUAAAAGUAACAUUUUUUCGAACAACAUUACAAAGACAAAUGUGGUCGUCUACAUUUCUUUUAAGGAACUGCUGUUAGAUUUUUAUCGUUUUAGUUGAAAUGGAGGUAAGCAGCCUCUGAGAGGUGACUGUAGGAAUAAGGAUGACGUCGAAAGCUGUUUUUGUCUCAGGGAGAUGGAAGACAAGCAACUGAAUGAGCUCGUAAGACUUCUCUUUUCGUUUUCUUCUUCGGGAAUUUGCUCGUCUGGAUCAUGGCAAACCGCUGUAAUCUUGAGUGACUCGGGAAGUAUGCAACUACACACAGAACCUGCAGGAAAUGCAGAGUUUGUGUUCAAGACAAAUCAAUCAUCGCGUUCUCUCCCCAGGCGCCAUCUCCUUCUCCUUGUCCUUCUCUCUGUCUCUCUGUCUGGUAUCCAUCUCUUCAGGCCUUGCUUCCCACGAUCCGGUCUCUCCUGGAACAACCAAGCCUCUCCCCGGUUUACUCCUUGGAUCGUCGGUUCUCUCUUUUCCUUUUGGGGUUUGUCUCUCACUAUUUUGGCAAAGGUUCCUCUCAAGAAUUCUGUGUGUAAAUCUGGAUCCAGGGCUCUGUAUUUAUAGAGAGAGGGAGUCGGAACUGCCAUGGGCCGAAGGGGUGGGAGUUGUAACCGAAAAGGUGUGUCUCUCUCCCUUGCAACCGUUCGGCAAUAACUGCCCCCAACCGGUCCUCAACUGCCUCCAACUGCUCCUGUCCCUUUCGUUCUCUAUCCUGAUGCCAAGGCCAAGCCCUUUAACUGACCGUCCAUGCCGUGGCCUCACCAUCUAACCGAACCACCAUAACCGCCCUUGUAACCGCCCCAACCGUCCUGGACAUGAACACUCGGCCCAGCUGAGUUGAGCUGAUUGCUAGCUGGUCCCAGCUUAGUGAGCUAGUCCUUCCAGCUCCACGAGCUGAUGCAGACUAACUGAGCUCCCAUUGAGCUUCCCUGAGCUGCCCAAACUCGGCCGCUGUCCCGUCCAGCUCCAUUAAACCCAUUCUUUCUUCACCCUGGUUAAGUCUCAACACUUUGAUGCCCUUAACCCUAUGUCUGAGCCAUGAUACGCUUGUCUACCGGUCUAAUGACCUGACUGGUGCGUCUCCCCGCACCAUGGCGCGUCCCAACGAUCCUAUCUCGGAUCGGGGACAUGACAGGGAUGACGCUGAGGAGGGGGAUUAAGGUGAGGAGGGGGAUGAAGCUGAUGUGAGGGAUGAAGAUAAAGAGGGGCAUGAAUCUGAGGAGGGGGAUGAAGCUGAGGAUGGGCAUGUAGCUGAUUAUUAAGUCAGCUGCAUCGUACUAGUAAAUCCGACAAAUUUCGCUAUCCUUUUCCCGUAAUCUCCACACAAAGACGUAUUGUUCGAUUUUCCAUAGGCUUAGAAAACUUUUCAAUUGUCGAGUAUUAGAGACGUAAAAUGGUAUAGUAUUGUGCACCAUAGUUUUCAAAGCUUUAUUCGAGAACAAGUAGCACAGCUGAAUCUGAUGGCUCGACUCACUCCGUAAUCAUCGAGUAUCGACUUCGCAAAUUCGUCGUGUGUUUUUUUCUUAUUUAAAUGCAUAACUCUAGACCCUUGAAAUGUUGUAUAUGGGUAUCAGAUGAAGAAGGUAGAAGAAGAAGGAAGAAGAAGAUAAGGUGUCGCAACACAAACCCUAAUUAAUUUGAGAUUGUCUGUAAUGUAAAUAAUGACAUGAAAUAGUAGCUGAUGACAUGGUAAAUCUGAUCUGAUGUCAUUUUUUUUUUCUUAUAUGACAAGUAAGACACCAAACAAACACGUAAAUCAGCAAUCAAGUACAAAUGUAAGCAAGUCGCAACGUGAAUACUAUUUUAAUAAUUAAACAACAAAAAAUUGGGUGCGAAAAUAGGCCACCAAACGAAAACGUAAAUAUUAAGUCAGUUGUAUCGUAAAAAAGAUCAACCGUCAAAUGAUGCUAUUUUAAUAAUUAAUCUUUUCUAGUAAAUCAGACAUAAUUAGGCGGAGUUACCGUUAAUCCAUCUCAUUACAACUGAUUUACGCUGGUUAUACGUAAAUCAUGCGUAACUAUCUCCCAUAACUAACCCAUCAAUUUUAUAACUCAGCCAGCCGAUGAUCAUUACAUGAGCAGGAGAAACAAAACUCAUUCGUGUCCAAUCUACAACUCAUGCAAUUUUUCAACAAAUCAACCAGCCGAUGCAUAAAUCAAUUGUAACUUGUGUUCGUAAGCUCAAAAAUCAGCAAGUUUCUGUAAAUCAACUGUCACUUAAGGCUUGUUUAUGUUCGUAAGUCAGCUUGAGCUCAUAAAUCAGCCAUGUUUUUGUAUCAACCAUAUCGUUGGACUUAUUUAUAUGUGUAAAUCAGCCAAGUUGUUUAAUCAGUCGAAAUGUAUAUUAACUCAGUUGUCAAUACCGUCUUAACGCUUUACGGCUGAGUUCACUAAAACACGUCAACAAAUUCCUGUGGUGCCAGAUAUUUCUGUAUGACAACAAACGGCUAUUCUAUUACUCAAACUUGAGAUCGUCCAGAUAACCAGACCGGAAUAGAAUAACCAAUGAAAUAAAGAUUGUUGUAAAAUGAUUGUGCAGUCCUAGCUAAAGAAUCUGAAAUUCCAUUCAGCGCUCUUGUGAUAUGAGAGAUCUUGAAAUCCGGAUAUGCAUCGUCUUUCUCACUUCCAAUUUUGUUGCAAAACUCAACCAUGCUUGAGAGUCAUGUAUCAUCGCAAUCAAAUCCUUGCAAUUUGUUCCAAAGCUCUUACAUGUCGAAAACUGAAGCAUGCUCUCCAUAUCCCAUUUCUGAAUGUAAAGCGGUCUCUCGGCAACUUAAAUUCCAUGUCCCCAACAGCUGAGUUUUCCCAAACCUAUCCUUCCAAACCCAAACGCAACCACUAAACCAUGCUUGACAUUCAUUUUCCCAAUAUCAGACUACCUCCAGUUGUUCCUUAUCUAUCCCCCUAAAACGUUUACAUUCAGAGCCUUUUAGAUAUGCCAUAUUAUCCAAAGAUAAUGAUCCAUAUCUAAUUUUGGUUCAGCAAUGUUAUUCUUUCUCUAGAACAGAUAAUCCAUUUGGCGUAUAUGCUUGAUAACGGGAAGAUGUUAGGGUUAGUUGGUGUUGCAGAUAGAGACCAUACUUGUAAAGCUGGGGCGCAUUUGAAGAUGGCAUGAGUAACAGUUUCUUAUGGUUCCCCACAUCUAGGGCAAUAAUUAUCGCAUCAAAUAUGUCGACGUGUCAGAUUUCUUGUUACUGCUACAUCUCAUGUUACCAAUUGCCACAUAAGAUGACAUAUCUUCAGUCAUGUUGUUCAAAUCAACAUGAAUGCUAUGGUGGGAACCCAAGGAUCCUCUCAAACAUUGACUGCAUAUCUACAUCCCAUUCUUUUGAUUGACUGUUGAUUAGAUCGCUGGCUGGCAUUUUUGUAUUCAACAUUGGGGCAAAAGGUUAAGUCGGCUUGAGUGCUAUGGUGGGAACCCAAGGAUCCUCCCAAACAUUGACUGCAUAUCUAUAAUGGAUUUUUCGUCUAGUCCCCAAAAGCAAUAAAUUCCUUACAACUGAAAUACUAGUCCACAUAUACGAUGGGUUGUUUAUUGAGCAUAAACGCAAAUUUCAUGUGCAUUAACAAGUGAUUUUGUAGUUGAGUUAUUUGUCAGAACAUAAUUUUUUAUAUACAUCUGGUAAUAUUGCUUAAUUUGUGUGUUGUUUAAGAAAAGUUUUCUUAAAAAAAGACUUGUGUUCGUAAGUCAGCUGUUAGCUCAAAAAUUAGCAAGGUUUAUGUAAAUCAUCCAUCACUUAAGGCUUGUUUAUGUUCGUAAGUUAGCCUAUAGUUCAUAAAUCAGCCAUGUUCUUGUAACUCAAACCGUAUUGUUGGAUUUAUUUAUACGUAUAAAUCAGUCAUGUUGUUCAAAUCUACCGCAAUAUAUAUUAACUCAAUCGUCUAACCGUUGUAACGCUUUACAACUGAGUUCAUUAAUACAUAUCAGCAUUUUUUUUGUUUGGCGCCAAAAUUUCUUUUCUGAUAUUUAUUAACAAGUAGUGACAUUUUUGUAGUUAAAAAAAAAAAGAAAUUAUAUACUUUUGGUAAUAUUACUUAAUUUGUGUGCUGUUUAAGUAAAAUUUUCUUUAAAAAAACGACUUGGGUUCCACAUUUGCCGGGCACGCUAACCAAUAAUUCAGCCUUGGGAUCCUUUCACAUCAAUCAUCCCCUUCUUCUUCGCUUUGCCAAAACCUCGUCCCCAUGGAUCCUAAAAACAGAGAUUUCCUAAACCACCUCGAAACAUACCUGGCCAAAAGAGACGGCGUAGACAAGCUCCUGAAGAUCUCUCGUUACACAACCAAGAUCAUCCUCGCAUCAUCCCUUCUCCCAGAAUCGGGCUCCCUAACUCACCGCCUCAAGAGCUUUGAAUCAAGCGUCGGAGUCAGCCGCAAAG